RNAcentral lists this ribosomal RNA (588 nucleotides) under uncultured bacterium. RNAcentral describes it as "bacterial SSU rRNA". It matches the Rfam family "Archaeal small subunit ribosomal RNA", at positions 455 to 1038 of the family's 1478-position model. The record is from RNAcentral.
GUGCCAGCAGCCGCGGUAAUACCGGUGGCUCGAGUGGUGGCCGCUAUUAUUGGGUCUAAAGGGUCCGUAGCCGGCCUGAUAAGUUACCUGGGAAAUCCGGUGGCCUAACCAUCGGGCGGCCAGGUAAUACUAUCAGGCUCGGGACUAGGAGAGACCAGAGGUACUCAUGAGGUAGGAGUGAAAUCCUGUAAUCUUAUGAGGACCACCAGUGGUGAAGACGUCUGGUUAGAAUAGGUCCGACGGUGAGGGACGAAGCUGGGGGCGCAAACCGGAUUAGAUACCCGGGUAGUCCCAGCAGUAAACGAUGCCAGCUAUGUGUUGCUGGAACCAUGGGUUCCAGCAGUGCCGAAGGGAAGCCGUGAAGCUGGCCACCUGGGAAGUACGGUCGCAAGGCUGAAACUUAAAGGAAUUGGCGGGGGAGUACCACAACCGGUGGAGCCUGCGGUUUAAUUGGAUACAACGGCCGGGAAUCUUACCGGAGGGGACAGCGAGUAUUGAGGGCCAGGCUAGAGACCUUGCCAGAUCAGCCUGAGAGGAGGUGCAUGGGCCGUCGCCAGUUCGUACCGUGAGGCAUCCUGUUUAGUCGGG